This is a long non-coding RNA of Myotis brandtii (Brandt's bat), 382 nucleotides long. RefSeq lists it as uncharacterized. The record is from RefSeq and is a predicted model, not a curated record. Lineage: Eukaryota; Metazoa; Chordata; Mammalia; Chiroptera; Vespertilionidae. The transcript is spliced from 2 exons.
GGGGAGGAGCAGGUCACAGGAUUGGAGGUCAGCCUUGCCAGUGUUAGCUCAGCAGGUCUUGGCACAUUGGUCUGCUCUUUGAGCUUUGCAAGAACUGAACUGUGGGUUCUUGAUGCUACUGAUGUUCCAGUGCUUUCUAGGUCAUCCUGGUUCUCUUCCCACUGUGACUUUUCCCUCUCCUUUCCCUUGCCUUCCCUUCCCAGCUACCCUUCCUCCCAGGCAGAUGAGACAAUCCUGGACUACUCGCCCUUUCAGGUUCGCUGACAACAACUGCAGUAUUCAGAAAACACCAAUAGGUAUUUUACAAAAAAGGAGGCGCUGGCCUACGAGGCAGAAGCACGCACCCAGCUCCUCCAGGGAGGGCACGCCGUAGGUUUCGUCA